CAUUGCGCCGCAGGGACGUGCACAGCUUCUUCACCUCGUCCACCGUCGGAUCCAGGCUCUGCUUGUACCUGGCCUGUGGACAUACAGGACUUCCAGAGAGACCAAGAAUCCAGAAUCACAAUGGCUUAAAAAAUACUGAUGUACUGAAAAAAAGAGCCACCAAGUCGAAGAGUAGGACAAUUGUACACACACAUCUACAAAAUCUGCUGCUGAAAGCCUGCUUAUAAGUCAAGGUCUCAGAAGUUAAUGCUUUUUAACCUUUCUUCUAUAGCAUGCAAGGAUAAGAAAGUCUUAAAAUACCAUAGUAAAAGGCAUGAAGUGCUUUAUUUAAUGUAAAAAUGUUUUGCUUAUCUAUGCAGCUUGAAAAAUAGAUAUCAAGCUGCUCAAUUAAUAUGCAGUACCUCAAGCCAGUAGGCAGGAUGGAUAGAAUGAAUGGUAUCAUUUGCGUGAUUACAGCCAUGAAGCAAAGCAAGCAAAUGGAAAAAAAACAUUCAGGAAGAGCCGGUGAUCCGACACGCUCAUCCUUCCUGGGGACUUCCACACUAAGUAAAGGACUUUUCAAGACCAAGACUUUUUUCAUUGUUACGAAAUAAAUACCAGGAGAGGAAGCGCUGUAAUGACAAGAAAAGUCCAGCGUUUGUUCAUCUGAUGGGGGUGGGGGUGGCAGCAGUGGGGCAGAGGAGCAGCUGACUAUUUCAUCCGAUGCCCUCUGGGUCAGUGCUAUUCCCAGUAACUGCUGAAAUCAACCUAAGGUUGAAUGCAAAUCGAAGCCAUCGUACAAAAAAAUUGCAUUCAAAAAUUGUUUGUUUUCAAACAAAUACGCUGCUGUGCCAUCGCACACUUUGCCUACUUAGUGCUGUGUUAAAAAAAAUGCAGAUACACGCAUUCCUAGACAGCCUGAGCUCUACUGCCAGGAGUCCUGCUCCUUCCUUCAAGAUGGAAAGCCUUCAAAUUCGAAAGGGGAAGGCAGGAGAACUGAGACCAAAGCAGCAUUCAUCAGCCCUGGAGAGCUCCCAUUUUCAACCAGUCAUCUGCAGCACAAAAGGCACAAGUGCUUUGUCCCUGCAAUGUAGAGGAAGAUACAGAUAGGUAGAUAAAGAUAUUAUGACAAAGCAGGCUAAAUAGCAAACUUCAAGGAGAAACUACAGUUUGCAUGAAAAGACAAAAACAAAAAAAAAAAACUAUUUUUUCCCUGCAAUGCUUUUAAUCUUUCUUUUAGCAGAGGCUUUACAAAUGCUUGCAGAUUAAGGACAGCAGGAUACUUUCCUAUGGGAAAUGAAAUACUGUCUUUCGCAUGCUGCACGUUCAUAUAAUGCUGGUCACUCACUGCUAAGCCAGGACAACGUGUUACUGUGCAGCACUUCUAAUUGAAAGAUGUCACCAUCAUUAAUUAAUGAGUUUGGGACAGUAAAAACUUGAGAAUGUCUUAUAAAGCCAUCAAUACCAAUGAAUAAAUCAUAGCUAACUCUAGAUCUUAAAAAUACGUAGAACUCCCUAUAGUAAAGUAACAUAUUUUCCUUUUCCAUCUCCCAGGCUUUGAGAGGUUCCUGCAGCUCUCCCACCCGGAGCCACGAAGCAGGGCAGCACAUCCCAUCCCCACGUCAGCUCCAUGCAUUUCAUUCAGCUAUAACAUUGUGUCUGCCAGUGACGGCAGCGCGUUGUCACGUCGGUGCUCCCCAUCGUUUUCAGGAGGGAUUGAGAUGUUUCAGAGGAUAAAUAAAACAAUGCAGCGUUCCCUGAUCAGCAGGGGGGUAACGGGACCCCCCCCGGGACGAGUCUGACUGGAGAGGAAAAACCAAUUCACCAACUUCUACCCCACUGGGAAACAUCAACAGUUAUUGGCUGCAUAAAGUCAUUCCCACGGUUCUAUGGAUUUUGUGCCUCAGCGAAUGGCUCUGCCGUGGAACCGCCACCUAAUUACAGGAUUUUCUUUUGCUUUGAAUGGCAUGAAAACAAACCAAAUGACCUGUGUUAAAGGCGGCUGCCCCAGAACCUCAGCAAAUGGGGCACUUCCCGCGUUGCAACAAACAUUUUGUCCCGCCAUAGCCUAAUUCUUCCUCGUGCUGAUUUAUGAUAGUCUUUCCUAGUUUAUUCCUCAGAGCAGCUGUACGGUUCAGGGGGAACCUCUGCAGAACGGAGCACAGGGGGAUGCUGCGCUGCGACUUGGAUCCAAACUGACCCCCAGUUUCCAAAUGCAGAAGACGCAUUAAACCUGAGACUUUGUCGCACGCGCAGACAGCCUGCUUAGCAUGAUUUAAUUAAAAGGAAUCAAAGCAAUCUAAUUAUUGCAAGAGAAUGUUUUUGGAACAGUGCCCAAACUUGAGAAACGGAACUAUGAGCGGCCUUCCAAGGAAAUAAGUAACCAAGGAACAAGAGCAGCUCAGCCGCUCGCCAUAAGCCUUGCGCUCCAGACCUUCUCCGGACGCGCUCCAGUUCCUCAAAAUCCAUCUUGUAGUGAGGGGCCCAAACAGUAGAGGGGACAAAGCAGCAGGUCCUGAAGUGACAAGCGAACUGUUGCAAGACGGCUGUGCCCAGUUCCAUCUCACUGCCCCCGCAGGCUGAGCCCCAGCACGCAUGCUGAGGAACAGACCCGGCAGCAGCUUCAGGCAGAGGACGGAUCAGCAGCUCCUUCCCAGGGACUGAAAAAGCACCUGAGUCGGCUGAAGGCCUGUUAAUGACAAACACUACAAACAGCGGAUUUGCUUUUCUGUAAAGUGAUAAAAGUAGAAUGGAAUUAAUCCAGAUUGCACGCUUUAUGGGGCAGCUGUCAGCUUGAUGCAACAUGUCCUCGGAGCGGCUGGAACAAACUCUGGCUUAGCCAUGAAGCAGGCUGGUGUCAGCCAGGCAGCUUCACAGCCAGAUCAUUCCACAGCUGUUAUGCCACACACACAACUGACAUUUUUUUUUUAAAACAUUAAUUUUUUUAGCACACUGGAAGCAUUUAAAAUAAUGAAAAGAUUGGCACUGGUCUUCCCAAAACACAAUUCCUUCAAAGAUCGGCGUUACGGUUUUCUUUUAUUUGGUUUAGUAUAAUUAAAAAGACAUUUUGAAUAAUCUGCCCAUUUAGAAAAUGAAAAAGGUUAGCAACGAGAAUGUGCCUGUUUACACGGCAAUGAAUUAAGGUGAAAACAUCAGAGAUUACUCAAACCUAUGGCACACCUCCACCUCCAUGCGUGUGCUUCUGGGCUGGCUUUCACGCUUGGAUAAGAGCUCUGCCAACCUGCAUCUCCAUUACAAAAGCAAAGACCAGGGACAAGGAGUAUCUCCUGUUUUGUUUUUUUAAACUAUUUAAACUAUUUUUUAAACUAUUCACCAUGAAGACAAUCUCAAUGUAUGUGCACCACGCCAGCCAAUGAAUUCAAAACAUCUUCAUCUGUGUCCCAGAGUUUCUCCUCUAUAUUUCUAUUAGAGAACCAUGAAGGAGCAGCAGUGCACACUUGCUGCAUUUAGGCACAAUUCUGAGUGUUGAAUACAAUGAUACACAAGAAACUGAAAAACCAAAGCCUUUGUGCCAUGCCGAGAGCAGGCAGUUCUGUAACCCUUAAGAUACAAAGAGAGUUUGUAAAGGCUGCAUAUACCAUAUACACGUAUGCAGUACAAUUAUGAGUGUCUGAAAAACUUAAUAUAACAAGCGGUAAAUAAAGGCUCUUGAUAAAUACUGUUCUUGUCCUGUAACAGUAGAAUCAAACAGCUAAAAGUACAAAAAGCUGAAAUCAGUUCUUUUUCAUUCAUUGGCCAAUAUAUUAAAGGCUGAUCCUGAAUGAUGGUGUAGGAAAAACCAAUUGUAAGCUUUCAGUGCUGCUUCAGGCAUCAGCUUUAGGGAAUGAAUACUGCAGCAUGGUAACCAGCACGUCCAUAACGCAGGACAACAAAGUGGCUCAAGAGAACCCCCCCAAAAAAAGGCAAGGUGAGCCCAAAUCUGCAGUAGCACGGGGCUUUUACAGCGAUGGGUCGGGAACAUUUUGUUACCCUCAGCCUUUCUGAAGGCUUAUUAAAAGAUUUGCAUGAAAAAGUGUCCAUAAGGACAGCAUACCUUUUCAGCAGAUAAGCCGAAAGAAACGCCACUCUCCGUGCCACCGACAGAAAUAGAGCUAAUGACUGCUAUGUAUAUCCACGUCACGUGUGCUCCGCGUGCCCGCGGCACGGACCUGCUGGCCAGGUGGCAGCCCCAGCUCACUGCUGGGCACAGCGCGGGAUCUGGAGAGAAAUCCCUGUACAAAGACUUGCUUAAGAACAGACAGGAGGGCGAGAAGCACUUCUUGUCUCCAGGAGUGAGGUCCCUGAGACGUUCCAAGGGAUCUGCUGGGCACCAGCCAACACCAACACCGCAUCCCAACACACGGUGCUCAGCCCCAACACCGAGCGUCCCCACCGCCCCCAAGGAACCCACCCCCCA
Numida meleagris (helmeted guineafowl) is the source of this 4396-nucleotide long non-coding RNA. RefSeq lists it as uncharacterized. Lineage: Eukaryota; Metazoa; Chordata; Aves; Galliformes; Numididae. The record is from RefSeq and is a predicted model, not a curated record. The transcript has 3 exons.